This 86-nucleotide transfer RNA is filed under the name Chloroflexota bacterium. RNAcentral's name for it is "Chloroflexi bacterium (marine sediment metagenome) tRNA-Leu". It matches the Rfam family "tRNA". From Rfam's summary of the family: Transfer RNA (tRNA) molecules are approximately 80 nucleotides in length. Their secondary structure includes four short double-helical elements and three loops (D, anti-codon, and T loops). Lineage: Bacteria; Bacillati; Chloroflexota. The record is from RNAcentral.
GCCGAAGUGGCGGAAUGGUAGACGCGACGGUCUCAAAAACCGUUGUCCUCACGGACGUGUCGGUUCGACUCCGACCUUCGGCACCA